ACGGAAGGCAGCAGUGGGGAAUAUUGGACAAUGGGGGAAACCCUGAUGCAGCAACGCCGCGUGAAGGAAGACGGUCUUCGGAUUGUAAACUUUUGUUCUUAGUGAAGAUAAUGACGGUAGCUAAGGAGAAAGCCACGGCUAACUACGUGCCAGCAGCCGCGGUAAUACGUAGGUGGCAAGCGUUGUCCGGAAUUACUGGGUGUAAAGGGAGCGCAGGCGGGAAAUCAAGUUGGAUGUGAAGUGUCGGGGCUUAACCCCGGAACUGCAUCCAAAACUGAUUUUCUUGAGUGAAGUAGAGGUAGGCGGAAUUCCGAGUGUAGCGGUGAAAUGCGUAGAUAUUCGGAGGAACACCAGUGGCGAAGGCGGCCUACUGGGCUUUAACUGACACUGAGGCUCGAAAGUGUGGGGAGCAAACAGGAUUAGAUACCCUGGUA
Molecule: ribosomal RNA, 434 nt
Filed under: uncultured Ruminococcus sp.
Lineage: Bacteria; Bacillati; Bacillota; Clostridia; Eubacteriales; Oscillospiraceae
Description: partial 16S ribosomal RNA
Rfam family: Bacterial small subunit ribosomal RNA
Source: RNAcentral